AUUGAACGCUGGCGGCAGGCCUAACACAUGCAAGUCGAAUGGAAACACGAAACGGCUUGCUGUUUCGCUGACGAGGCGCGGAGGGGUGAGAAAUGUCUGUGAAACUCCCUUAUGGCGGGGGUAAACUAGUGGAAACGGUAGCUAAUACCGCAUAACGUCUCAAGACCAAAGAGGGAGACCUUCGGGCCUCUUGCCAUCAGAUGUUCCCAGAUGGGAUUAGCUAGUAGGUAGGGUAACGGCUCACCUAGGCGACGAUCCGUAGCUGGUCUGAGAGGAUGACCAGCCACACUGGAACUGAGACACGGUCCAGACUCCUACGGGAGGCAGCAGUAGGGAAUAUUCCACAAUGGGCGAAAGCCUGACGCAGCAAUGCCGCGUGUAUGAUGAAGGUCUUCGGGUCGUAAAGCACUUUUAGCGGGGAGGAACGGAGUAAAGUUUAUACCUGCGCUCAUUGACGUUACCUGCAGAGAAAGCCCCGGCUAACUCCGUG
RNAcentral lists this ribosomal RNA (490 nucleotides) under uncultured bacterium. RNAcentral's name for it is "partial 16S ribosomal RNA". It matches the Rfam family "Bacterial small subunit ribosomal RNA", at positions 30 to 507 of the family's 1533-position model. The record is from RNAcentral.